GUAUAAGAGACAGCAGUCGCCGCGGUAAUACGGAGGGUGCAAGCGUUAUCCGGAUUUAUUGGGUUUAAAGGGUCCGUAGGCGGAUCUGUAAGUCAGUGGUGAAAUCUCACAGCUUAACUGUAAAACUGCCAUUGAUACUGCAGGUCUUGAGUAAAUUUGAAGUGGCUGGAAUAAGUAGUGUAGCGGUGAAAUGCAUAGAUAUUACUUAGAACACCAAUUGCGAAGGCAGGUCACUAAGAUUUAACUGACGCUGAUGGACGAAAGCGUGGGGAGCGAACAGGAUUAGAUACCCCUGUAGUCCCUGUCUCUUAUAC
This 314-nucleotide ribosomal RNA is filed under the name uncultured bacterium. RNAcentral describes it as "partial 16S ribosomal RNA". It matches the Rfam family "Bacterial small subunit ribosomal RNA", at positions 495 to 807 of the family's 1533-position model. The record is from RNAcentral.